Molecule: non-coding RNA, 136 nt
Organism: Triticum aestivum (bread wheat)
Lineage: Eukaryota; Viridiplantae; Streptophyta; Magnoliopsida; Poales; Poaceae
Source: Rfam
UGUGUACUCCCUCCAUUCCAAAAUACUUGACUUCCAUUUGUCCAAAAAUGGAUGUACCUAUAUACUAAAACAUGUCUAGAUACAUCUAUACUUUGACAAAUAGAAGGCAUGUAUUGUGGAUCGGAGGGAGUAGAAU